Molecule: long non-coding RNA, 635 nt
Filed under: Drosophila guanche
Lineage: Eukaryota; Metazoa; Arthropoda; Insecta; Diptera; Drosophilidae
Source: RNAcentral
GCAAACAGCUGACUUUAACUGCUGUUAUCUUAACAGUGGUAACAAAAAUAUUACUUUUUUUAGUUUUGACAAAUGAGUUUCGUCCAGGAAAAGUGGUCAAAUGCCCGAUAGUGCGGUGGUUGGAUUUCGGCCAUUCUUACUAUCCACUUAAACAUCAAAACAUGGCCUACAUCAUGGACUCCGCCAGUAUGCCACCUGCUGCAGACAGUGAACAAACUGCCUAUAAAAUUGAUCAGGAAAAUACUCACUUUGCUUCUAAAAGUAUGGAAAUCGUAUAUUUUCGUAUAUUUUUCCAUCAUUUAGUGACAGUCCUAAGAGAGAGUGACGUUAUGGAUGGGCUACAAGGGUACAUAGAUAGCGACAAUCGUGUCGCUAGGACUUUGGCAACCCCCUCGCAAAACAGCGAGGCUAUGACAUUUGUAGGAUAGGAGUCUUGGCUAUUGCACAUAUUUGAUUUAUGGGAGAAUUGCACACAGGUAGACGAAUAAUUCUUUAUUCAUGUUAACUAGAACAUAUUCGGAAACUGUAGAAUCUUCACAGAAUCAGGGCCGUGCCGAGGAAUAUUUGCAAAACGGCGCCCCAAACACCCUAUAUAUUCACAAUUUUUUUUUUUCGCAAAUAAAAUACAAUUGAGG